UGAGUUUGAUUAUUACUAAUUUUGUUAAUGACUUUGGGUACAUGUAUUCCUGCUUUAUCUUCUUGACAAACAGUUUGAAUAAUUUGUGUGCUCAUGGGUUGUUGCUAUGUUAUUUUCUAAUUAUUGCCAUAUUAAAUAUUAUGUUGCAAUUGUUUUAAGCCUUGGAUGGAUUCAAUUGUACUUUGAAUUUUGAUGAGUAUAUGUUAUUAGUAUUUUAUCAUUCUUAUUAUUGCUAUCUUUAACUGUGUAUUG
Molecule: long non-coding RNA, 252 nt
Filed under: Solanum tuberosum (potato)
Lineage: Eukaryota; Viridiplantae; Streptophyta; Magnoliopsida; Solanales; Solanaceae
Description: long non-coding RNA (STUB_LNC004615)
Source: RNAcentral